This 775-nucleotide ribosomal RNA is filed under the name Achromobacter sp. 93. RNAcentral's name for it is "bacterial SSU rRNA". It matches the Rfam family "Bacterial small subunit ribosomal RNA", at positions 1 to 770 of the family's 1533-position model. Lineage: Bacteria; Pseudomonadati; Pseudomonadota; Betaproteobacteria; Burkholderiales; Alcaligenaceae. The record is from RNAcentral.
AUUGGUUUUUAGAGUUGUGGUCUGGUUCAGAUUAACGCUAGCGGCAGGCCUUACACAUGCAAGUCGAGCGGCAGCAGGGACUUCGGUCUGGUAUUGAGUGGCGAACGGGUGAGUAAUGUAUCGGAAUGUGCCCAGUAGCGGGGGAUAACUUCGGGAAAGGGUAGCUAAUACCGCAUACGUCCUGCGGGAGAAAGCAGGGGAUCUUAGGACCUCGCGCUAUCGGAGCGGCCUAGAUCGGAUUAGCUAGUUGGUGGGGUAAAGGCUCACCAAGGCGACGAUCCGUAGCUGGUUUGAGAGGAUGAUCAGUCACACUGGAACUGAGACACGGUCCAGACUCCUACGGGAGGCAGCAGUGGGGAAUUUUGGACAAUGGGGGAAACCCUGAUCCAGCCAUCCCGCGUGUGCGAUGAAGGCCUUCGGGUUGUAAAGCACUUUAGGCAGGAAGGAAGGGCAGUGGGUUAAUACCCCGCGAAUUUGACGUUACCUGCAGAAUAAGCACCGGCUAACUACGUGCCAGCAGCCGCGGUAAUACGUAGGGUGCAAGCGUUAAUCGGAAUUACUGGGCGUAAAGCGCGCGCAGGCGGUUCAGCAAGUAAGAUGUGAAAUCCCCGAGCUCAACUUGGGAACUGCAUUCUAAACUACUGAGCUAGAGUGUGUCAGAGGGAGGUGGAAUUCCGUGUGUAGCAGUGAAAUGCGUAGAUAUGCGGAGGAACACCGAUGGCGAAGGCAGCCUCCUGGCAUAGCACUGACGCUCAGCUCGAAAGACGCUCCCGCU